This 73-nucleotide transfer RNA is filed under the name Streptomyces bluensis. Its description in RNAcentral is "tRNA-Asp". The record is from RNAcentral. Lineage: Bacteria; Bacillati; Actinomycetota; Actinomycetes; Kitasatosporales; Streptomycetaceae.
GUUCUCCCUGGCGCAGGCCAGGGCGCGUGGGCUGCUGUCGGUGGCCACGACGCGGUUGAUACCGCGGUGGGCC